Molecule: ribosomal RNA, 464 nt
Filed under: uncultured bacterium
Lineage: Bacteria
Description: bacterial SSU rRNA
Rfam family: Bacterial small subunit ribosomal RNA
Source: RNAcentral
AUUGAACGCUGGCGGCAUGCCUUACACAUGCAAGUCGAACGGUAACGGGCCUUCGGGUGCCGACGAGUGGCGAACGGGUGAGUAAUGCAUCGGAACGUACCUUUCAGUGGGGGAUAACGUAGCGAAAGUUACGCUAAUACCGCAUAUUCUGUGAGCAGGAAAGCAGGGGAUCGCAAGACCUUGCGCUGAUUGAGCGGCCGAUGUCAGAUUAGGUAGUUGGUGGGGUAAAAGCCUACCAAGCCGACGAUCUGUAGCUGGUCUGAGAGGACGACCAGCCACACUGGGACUGAGACACGGCCCAGACUCCUACGGGAGGCAGCAGUGGGGAAUUUUGGACAAUGGGCGCAAGCCUGAUCCAGCCAUUCCGCGUGAGUGAAGAAGGCCUUCGGGUUGGUAAAGACGUCUUUCUAGCAGGAACGAAACGGUAGGCCGACUAAUACUAGGCGUACUAAUAGACGGUACCU